UGGGGAAUUUUGGGCAAUGGGCGAAAGCCUGACCCAGCAACGCCGCGUGAAGGAUGAAGGUCUUAGGAUUGUAAAAUUCUUUCACCGGGGACGAUAAUGACGGUACCCGGAGAAGAAGCCCCGGCUAACUUCGUGCCAGCAGCCGCGGUAAUACGAAGGGGGCUAGCGUUGCUCGGAAUUACUGGGCGUAAAGGGAGCGUAGGCGGAUAGUUCAGUCAGAGGUGAAAGCCCAGGGCUCAACCUUGGAACUGCCUUUGAUACUGGCUAUCUUGAGUUUGGGAGAGGUAUGUGGAACUCCGAGUGUAGAGGUGAAAUUCGUAGAUAUUCGGAAGAACACCAGUGGCGAAGGCGACAUACUGGCCCAAUACUGACGCUGAGGCUCGAAAGCGUGGGGAGCAAACAGGAUUAGAUACCCCAGUAGUCCCUGAGCGGGCUGGCAAGGCGCAU
Molecule: ribosomal RNA, 447 nt
Filed under: uncultured bacterium
Lineage: Bacteria
Description: bacterial SSU rRNA
Rfam family: Bacterial small subunit ribosomal RNA
Source: RNAcentral